AUUGAACGCUGGCGGCAGGCCUAACACAUGCAAGUCGAGCGGAUGAAGGGAGCUUGCUCCUGGAUUCAGCGGCGGACGGGUGAGUAAUGCCUAGGAAUCUGCCUGGUAGUGGGGGAUAACGUCCGGAAACGGGCGCUAAUACCGCAUACGUCCUGAGGGAGAAAGUGGGGGAUCUUCGGACCUCACGCUAUCAGAUGAGCCUAGGUCGGAUUAGCUAGUUGGUGGGGUAAAGGCCUACCAAGGCGACGAUCCGUAACUGGUCUGAGAGGAUGAUCAGUCACACUGGAACUGAGACACGGUCCAGACUCCUACGGGAGGCAGCAGUGGGGAAUAUUGGACGAUGGGCGAAAGCCUGAUCCAGCCAUGCCGCGUGUGUGAAGAAGGUCUUCGGAUUGUAAAGCACUUUAAGUGGGGAGGAAGGGCAGUAAGUUAAUACCUUGCUGUUUUGACGUUACCAACAGAAUAAGCACCGGCUAACUUCGUG
RNAcentral lists this ribosomal RNA (484 nucleotides) under uncultured bacterium. Its description in RNAcentral is "partial 16S ribosomal RNA". It matches the Rfam family "Bacterial small subunit ribosomal RNA", at positions 30 to 507 of the family's 1533-position model. The record is from RNAcentral.